CCUGGAAGAAAAACUGGGGGAAACCUUGGGUUGGGCUCAUCCUCGCCGUUUCUGGAAAAAUUGCUGGGCUGGACGCAACCACCCCGGCGCUCACCGGCGGCGCCGCCUCGCGACUAAUCAAGCCCCGCGGCCGCCGGCCCCAACGCAGACGGCGCACCUAUCGCGUCGCGGGCACGCCGCCGCGCCCCGUCGCGCGGCCCGCCCUGCUGCACCGCCUCAGACCAAUGGCUCGGGGAUAGGAGAAGAGAGCAAAUUUGCAACACGGCCAUCGUUUUUGAUACUGCCAGUGACUUGACCCUUGAAAAUUGCAGUGACACUUUUGAGCAACUGAGUACCAGGGAACAUCCUGUCUCUGGAAUGCAAGUAUUCAUGAGGAAGCGGUGGAGCAGGGAGAUGGAAUUUGUUGGCCAUGCCCGGUAGAGGUACCGGGCUUCGAUAAUCGAUAUGAUGAUGCUCACUGACAGAAGUGAAGCCAAAACCAACAGAUGGAACAAGUUAUCCUAUUCUUCACCGUUACAUGUAACGAUAAAGAAAUCUUCACCAAAGCAGAGGGAUUCGAGCCUGGCAGUUUCCUGGAAAGACUGAUGAAGGAAGAUGUUGACUCCAGAUGGAAAAAGGGAACACGGUUGAUUGCUGUGUGUCUGGGUGGGUGACACCAUUCUCUUUUUCUUGUCACUAGUCAACAAUUUGUGGCCCUUAUUGGAUGGAAAAUUUGGAAGAAAGCCGCCAAGGAUGACUGCUUCAACGCAUGGCGUGGUUUAUUUAGAGCAUGGUUAAUAGUAUAGCCAACUGCUGGCUAUAAGCAGUCUUAUAGUCCAUCUUAUAGCUAGCUUGUACAAUAGUUAGCUAUAAAAGAGUACUAUUUUUAUCAUAUAUGGCCCACCUUUCAUUCUUACAAAGCACCUAGGAGCACGUGCUAGAGCGGGCUUUUCACGAAGAGAGCGCUUCACUUCUCUCUCCUCUUCUCUCUCAUCCAACUCAGCAAAAAUAUAGUAUUUUAAUCCUUACAGCCUGCUGAUUGUACAUUAUUGUACUUGCUCUUAUUGAUUGAUCGAAGAGACUGAGUUAACAGGUGCAUGCACACAUGUCCCAGUUCAGUUCCUUGAUACGUGUAAUUUAUGUAAUGGAUGAAGGAGAGUGAUGGGUUGUUGGGGUGUCAAUUGCUGCUAUCCAAUGCAUGAAGUCUUGCAGUCUUAGUUCAGUUCUGUUGAAAGUUUAAGUUCUGGGUUCGAUUUGUGCUCGUUUAUUUUUUUCUUAUGGGAGGAAUCAUAUCAUGGUACGGUGUAUUUGCAUGUAAUAAGUAUGAAAUGGUUACUUAUUGUCCA
This is a long non-coding RNA of Hordeum vulgare subsp. vulgare (domesticated barley), 1325 nucleotides long. RefSeq lists it as uncharacterized. NCBI's taxonomy places the organism in Eukaryota, Viridiplantae, Streptophyta, Magnoliopsida, Poales, Poaceae. The record is from RefSeq and is a predicted model, not a curated record. The transcript is spliced from 4 exons.